AAAUGCAGGGCUCCAUUUGUAUAUGGACAGCUUUUGUAAAGGAGUUUAAGCUAAGGAGAAAGGUAAUUGAGAAGGUGAGCGAAAGAAAGACCUAUUGAAGCAGGGAUAUUUGGGGGUUGGAGGCAUUUCUGUAGUGUUUUUGUGUUAUUCAUAGCCUUUCUCCUCAAGGGGAGCACACUUGGCCCUGACAGCAGGCCAGAGCUCAUCUGGUUACACUUCUUUCCCUGCCUUGUAGGAGAUUAUAUGGGAAGGAACUCCUCCAAGUCAGGGAUAAGUGAUUUGUUUCCUCUGUCUGUUAGGUUCUUAGCAUCCCUGAGCUGGAGGAAACUUCGAGACCACAGAGUCACAUGCUGCCCUUUACAGGGAGGACGAUGCUGUGCCUGGGUGUCUGCACCAGGAAGGGGUGAAGUUAGACUGGUGUUUCUGGAGCCGUCGUGGACGCCGGAAGGAAGGAUGGUGUGCUCUUCAGACUCCUGCUGGGCCUCUAGCUGUGAAAAAGGAACCUGGAAUUGUUCCCCAGGAAGCUCCUCUUUCCAAACCCGAGAGAUGAGGAACGUUGCUGUGCACAAGGACAUGCCUGCCAGUGCUCUUCUCCAUGCUGUUCCCAUGACUGACAUGACCUUGCCCAACUGCAUCUACAGAGGUCCUUCUUCAUUCCUGGUUCAUUUGACCUGGAGCAUAGAUAUCGAUGAAGAUAACAGAAAAGUCAUAAUUGUCUCUAAAGGAUACCCAAGACAAACUGGCUACUGAAUGAUGUCAGUUUGGAUUUUUUUGUUUGUUUGUUUGUUUUUUAAUUUUAGCCAUUUGUUACUGUGAAAAAA
Molecule: long non-coding RNA, 821 nt
Filed under: Ursus maritimus (polar bear)
Lineage: Eukaryota; Metazoa; Chordata; Mammalia; Carnivora; Ursidae
Description: lncRNA (ENSUMAG00000015914.1)
Source: RNAcentral